GAACGCUGGCGGCAUGCCUAACACAUGCAAGUCGAACGGCAGCACAGCAGAGCUUGCUCUGUGGGUGGCGAGUGGCGGACGGGUGAGUAAUGCAUCGGGACCUACCUGAACGUGGGGGAUAAUGUAGGGAAACUUACGCUAAUACCGCAUACGUCCUACGGGAGAAAGCGGGGGACCUUCGGGCCUCGCGCGGUCAGACGGACCGAUGUUCGAUUAGCUAGUUGGUAAGGUAAUGGCUUACCAAGGCGACGAUCGAUAGCUGGGCUGAGAGGAUGAUCAGCCACACUGGAACUGAGACACGGUCCAGACUCCUACGGGAGGCAGCAGUGGGGAAUUUUGCGCAAUGGGCGAAAGCCUGACGCAGCAACGCCGCGUGAGUGAUGAAGGCUUUCGGGUCGUAAAGCUCUGUCGAGGGGAAAGAAGUGUACGAGGGCUAAUAUCCUUUGUACUUGACGGUACCCCUAAAGGAAGCACCGGCUAACUCCGUGCCAGCAGCCGCGGUAAUACGGGGGGUGCAAGCGUUGUUCGGAAUUAUUGGGCGUAAAGCGCGUGUAGGCGGUCUGAUUAGUCUGAUGUGAAAGCCCCGGGCUCAACCCGGGAAGUGCAUUGGAAACUGUCAGACUUGAAUACGGGAGAGGGUAGUGGAAUUCCUAGUGUAGGAGUGAAAUCCGUAGAUAUUAGGAGGAACACCGGUGGCGAAGGCGGCUACCUGGACCGAUAUUGACGCUGAGACGCGAAAGCGUGGGUAGCAAACAGGAUUAGAUACCCUGGUAGUCCACGCCCUAAACGAUGCGAACUGGACGUUGGGAGCAAUUAGGCUCUCAGUGUCGAAGCUAACGCGUAAGUCGCCGCC
RNAcentral lists this ribosomal RNA (853 nucleotides) under uncultured bacterium. RNAcentral's name for it is "bacterial SSU rRNA". It matches the Rfam family "Bacterial small subunit ribosomal RNA", at positions 31 to 873 of the family's 1533-position model. The record is from RNAcentral.